Molecule: transfer RNA, 75 nt
Rfam family: tRNA
About the family: Transfer RNA (tRNA) molecules are approximately 80 nucleotides in length. Their secondary structure includes four short double-helical elements and three loops (D, anti-codon, and T loops).
Source: Rfam
GGGCCCGUAGCUUAGCCAGGACAAAGCACGGGUCUCCGGAACCCGAGAUCCCGGGUUCAAAUCCCGGCGGGCCCG